CUAACACAUGCAAGUCGAGCGAAGAAGUAAAGAAAUGAAGCUUCGGUAGAUUUCAUUAUGGAAAGCGGCGGACGGGUGAGUAACGCGUAGGCAACCUGCCCUGUACAGGGGGAUAGCCACCCGAAAAGGUGAUUAAUACCCCAUGAUGCAAGAGAUACACAUGUAUCACUUGUCAAAGAUUUAUCGGUAUGGGAUGGGCCUGCGUCUGAUUAGCUAGUUGGUAGGGUAACGGCUUACCAAGGCAACGAUCAGUAGCCGACCUGAGAGGGUGAUCGGCCACAUUGGAACUGAGACACGGUCCAAACUCCUACGGGAGGCAGCAGUGGGGAAUAUUGCACAAUGGGGGAAACCCUGAUGCAGCAACGCCGCGUGAAGGAAGAAGGCCUUCGGGUUGUAAACUUCUGUCCUAGGGGAAGAAACAAAUGACAUUACCCUUGGAGGAAGCCCCGGCUAACUACGUGCCAGCAGCCGCGGUAAUACGUAGGGGGCGAGCGUUAUCCGGAAUUAUUGGGCGUAAAGAGUGCGUAGGUGGCAUCUUAAGCGCAGGGUUUAAGGCAAUGGCUCAACCAUUGUUCGCCUUGCGAACUGGGGUGCUUGAGUGCAGGAGGGGAAAGUGGAAUUCCUAGUGUAGCGGUGAAAUGCGUAGAUAUUAGGAGGAACACCAGUGGCGAAGGCGACUUUCUGGACUGUUACUGACACUGAGG
Molecule: ribosomal RNA, 704 nt
Filed under: uncultured Clostridium sp.
Lineage: Bacteria; Bacillati; Bacillota; Clostridia; Eubacteriales; Clostridiaceae
Description: bacterial SSU rRNA
Rfam family: Bacterial small subunit ribosomal RNA
Source: RNAcentral